CGGACGGGUGAGUAACGCGUGGAAAACCUGCCGUAUACUGGGGGAUAACACUUAGAAAUAGGUGCUAAUACCGCAUAAGCGCACAGCUUCGCAUGAAGCGGUGUGAAAAGCUCUGGUGGUAUACGAUGGUUCCGCGUCUGAUUAGCUAGUUGGUGGGGUAAUGGCCUACCAAGGCAACGAUCAGUAGCCGGCCUGAGAGGGUGAACGGCCACAUUGGGACUGAGACACGGCCCAAACUCCUACGGAAGGCAGCAG
RNAcentral lists this ribosomal RNA (255 nucleotides) under uncultured bacterium. RNAcentral's name for it is "partial 16S ribosomal RNA". It matches the Rfam family "Bacterial small subunit ribosomal RNA", at positions 99 to 354 of the family's 1533-position model. The record is from RNAcentral.